AUACGUAGGGGGCGAGCGUUGUCCGGAAUGAUUGGGCGUAAAGGGCGCGUAGGCGGCGCGGUAAGUCUGGAGUGAAAGUCCUGCUUUCAAGGUGGGAAUUGUUUUGGAUACUGCCGCGCUUGAGUGCAGGAGAGGUUAUCGGAAUUCCCGGUGUAGCGGUGAAAUGCGUAGAGAUCGGGAGGAACACCAGUGGCGAAGGCGGGUAACUGGACUGCAACUGACGCUGAGGCGCGAAAGUGUGGGGAGCAAACAGGAUUAGAUACCCUGGUAGUCCACACUGUAAACGAUGAAUGCUAGGUGUAAGAGGUAUCGACCCCUUUUGUGCCGGAGUCAACACAAUAAGCAUUCCGCCUGGGGAGUACGGCCGCAAGGUUGAAACUCAAAGGAAUUGACGGGG
RNAcentral lists this ribosomal RNA (397 nucleotides) under uncultured bacterium. RNAcentral describes it as "partial 16S ribosomal RNA". It matches the Rfam family "Bacterial small subunit ribosomal RNA", at positions 523 to 918 of the family's 1533-position model. The record is from RNAcentral.